This 583-nucleotide ribosomal RNA is filed under the name uncultured bacterium. Its description in RNAcentral is "partial 16S ribosomal RNA". It matches the Rfam family "Bacterial small subunit ribosomal RNA", at positions 357 to 1375 of the family's 1533-position model. The record is from RNAcentral.
UGGGAAUUUGGACAAUGGGCGAAAGCCUGAUCCAGCAAUGCCGCGUGUGUGAAGAAGGCCUUCGGGUUGUAAAGCACUUUUGUCCGGAAAGAAAUCCUUGGCUCUAAUACAGUCGGGGGAUGACGGUACCGGAAGAAUAAGCACCGGCUAACUACGUGCCAGCAGCCGCGGUAAUACGUAGGGUGCAAGCGUUAAUCGGAAUUACUGGGCGUAAAGCGUGCGCAGGCGGUUUGCUAAGACCGAUGUGAAAUCCCCGGGCUCAACCUGGGAACUGCAUUGGUGACUGGCAGGCUAGAGUAUGGCAGAGGGGGGUAGAAUUCCACGUGUAGCAGUGAAAUGCGUAGAGAUGUGGAGGAAUACCGAUGGCGAAGGCAGCCCCCUGGGCCAAUACUGACGCUCAUGCACGAAAGCGUGGGGAGCAAAACAGGAUUAGAUACCCUGGUAGUCCACGCCCUAAACGAUGUCAACUAGUUGUUGGGGAUUCAUUCCUUAGUAACGUAGCUAACGCGUGAAGUUGACCGCCUGGGGAGUACGGUCGCAAGAUUAAAACUCAAAGGAAUUGACGGGGUCAUAGCUGUUUCCU